CUUCUUUUUUCAUUUUUUUGUGACCAGCUCGUCCACCAUCUUCGUGCUGUUGUUCUUAAUGAAACGUCCCGUUCAGCGUCUUAACGAAAUGAUCUUACGUACGACCCGUACGACUAAUGAAGCAGGCAGAAGAAGCACCACUGAGCAACAAGUCCGCCGUCGCUAGCAGAGAGGCCGAGAGGCAUCGCACAUGCCUUCUUUCUGCAGGCCGCCGCUGCAACUUCACCCGAUCUCCCCCGAGCUGCCAGAGUAGGCUCGACCGGAAAUAUGGUCUGUGUACUUUUUUGCUUCACUCUCGCUCCGCUUGGGGCGCCACCUGCAACACUUUCGCUGAUGCCGCCGUGGCGAGCGGUUGUUCAAGUUUUCGUCUCUUGCUGAUGUUUGUGGUUGCCCGUUGAGUGUUGUCAUCCGACAAUACACCGGUGAUCUGCUGCUAAAGGGCUUGCGAGUCCGUGGUGGGCGUCGACUGGCAGUGACGCAUUUGUGCGUGCGUGUUUUGAAGUGAAGUGUAGCGGCUUCAAACAGAAGUGUUGUGUGCGAAAGGUCAUCCUCGUUUCCUCGUCGAAUAAUUCGCCUGGCUUUUAACAGCAGGCGGUGGUGGCUGUGUCACCUUCAUGCGGAUACACGUCACGUCAUCGUCACCAGCGUCACACGGUAAACUGGAUGUCUGUCCUAGCCGCGUGCCAUAACUUUGCACACGCUAGGCAGUUACAGUGCGGUCAGAAG
This is a long non-coding RNA of Rhipicephalus sanguineus (brown dog tick), 726 nucleotides long. RefSeq lists it as uncharacterized. The record is from RefSeq and is a predicted model, not a curated record. The transcript has 3 exons. Lineage: Eukaryota; Metazoa; Arthropoda; Arachnida; Ixodida; Ixodidae.